GAUCCUGGCUCAGGAUGAACGCUAGCGACAGGCUUAACACAUGCAAGUCGAGGGGCAGCAUGAUUUGUGGCAAUACAGAUUGAUGGCGACCGGCGCACGGGUGAGUAACGCGUAUGCAACUUACCUAUCAGAGGGGGAUAGCCCGGCGAAAGUCGGAUUAAUACCCCCAUAAAACAGGGUCCGGCCAUGGGAAGUAUUUGUUUAAAGAAUUCUAUCGCUGAUAGAUAGGCGAUGCG
Molecule: ribosomal RNA, 236 nt
Filed under: uncultured bacterium
Lineage: Bacteria
Description: partial 16S ribosomal RNA
Rfam family: Bacterial small subunit ribosomal RNA
Source: RNAcentral